Monascus purpureus is the source of this 98-nucleotide non-coding RNA. NCBI's taxonomy places the organism in Eukaryota, Fungi, Ascomycota, Eurotiomycetes, Eurotiales, Aspergillaceae. The record is from the annotation of a GenBank genome assembly.
GGCAAGGUGGCCGAGCGGUCCAAGGCGCACGGUUCAGGUUAUCUUAUACAUACUUCCGUGUCUCGAAAGGGGCGUGGGUUCGAAUCCCACCCUUGUCA